CAAUAGCGUAUACUAAAAUUGUUGCGUUUAAAAAGCUCGUAGUUGGAUUUCGGCCGAGAAAUCAGCACUUCUAGUGACGCGGUGAUCUCGGCCCUCUUGGGUGAUGUGAUGGCGCUUGAUUGUGCUGCGCGUGACUCAGAUCUUUUACUUUGAGGAAAUUAGAGUGUUCCAAGCAGGCAACUGCCUUGAAUACAUUAGCAUGGAAUAAUAGGAUAGGACCUUGAUCCUGUUUUAUUGGUUUUGGGGAUUCUGGUAAUGAUAAAUAGAAUCAGUCGGGGGCAUUCGUAUUUAACAGUCAGAGGUGGAAUUCUUGGAUUUGUUAAAGACGAACUACUGCGAAAGCAUUUGCCAAGAAUGUUUUUAUUGA
Molecule: ribosomal RNA, 367 nt
Filed under: uncultured eukaryote
Lineage: Eukaryota
Description: partial 18S ribosomal RNA
Rfam family: Eukaryotic small subunit ribosomal RNA
Source: RNAcentral